GUAUUAGUUAAGUUCUUGAAACCCAAAGGAUUUGGCGGUAAUUUAGUCUUUUCAGAGGAGCCUGUCCCUUUAUCGAUAGUCCACGAUAAGACUUACUUGUUUUUGUAUUCAGUUUGUAUACCUCCGUCAUAAGGAUAUCUUUUUAGAGUGAAUUUCCUUUUUUAUUUAAUAUAAAUAUGUCAGGUCAAGGUGCAGCUUAUAAAUAUGUGGAGGUGGGCUACAAUAAAAUUAUUUAUACGGAAAUUUAUUUUUAAUUUUAAUAUCAAAGGUGGAUUUGAAAGUAAAAUUUAUUUUUUAAGUUUUUUGACUUUGGCUCUAAAUUAUGCACACAUCGCCCG
RNAcentral lists this ribosomal RNA (338 nucleotides) under Philogenia cassandra. RNAcentral describes it as "partial 12S ribosomal RNA". Lineage: Eukaryota; Metazoa; Arthropoda; Insecta; Odonata; Megapodagrionidae. The record is from RNAcentral.